CAAGGGAUAGUUUAAAGAUAGAAUAC
This 26-nucleotide transfer RNA is filed under the name Talpa aquitania. RNAcentral describes it as "partial tRNA-Pro". Lineage: Eukaryota; Metazoa; Chordata; Mammalia; Eulipotyphla; Talpidae. The record is from RNAcentral.